This 301-nucleotide unclassified non-coding RNA is filed under the name uncultured Rhodosporidiobolus. RNAcentral describes it as "sequence contains ITS2". The stretch from base 1 to 52 matches the Rfam family "5.8S ribosomal RNA", at positions 103 to 154 of the family's 154-position model. Lineage: Eukaryota; Fungi; Basidiomycota; Microbotryomycetes; Sporidiobolales; Sporidiobolaceae. The record is from RNAcentral.
AACGCAUCUUGCACUCUCUGGUAUUCCGGAGAGUAUGUCUGUUUGAGUGUCAUGAAUUCUUCAACCCUCCCUUUUCUUAGUGAAUUGAGAGGAGUUUGGAUUCUGAGUGUUGCUCCUAACCCGAGCUCAUUCGUAAUAUAUUAGCAUCCAUAUUCGAUUUCGGAUUGACUUGGCGUAAUAGACUAUUCGCUGAGGAAUCUAACUUCGGUUAGAGCCGUUUUUGAACUAGGAAGCUGCUAAUCUAGCUUAGUCUACCUUUAGAUUAGAUCUCAAAUCAGAUAGGAUUACCCGCUGAACUUAA